RNAcentral lists this ribosomal RNA (467 nucleotides) under uncultured bacterium. RNAcentral's name for it is "partial 16S ribosomal RNA". It matches the Rfam family "Bacterial small subunit ribosomal RNA", at positions 28 to 506 of the family's 1533-position model. The record is from RNAcentral.
GACGAACGCUGGCGGCGUGCUUAACACAUGCAAGUCGAACGGAAAGGCCCUGCUUUUGUGGGGUGCUCGAGUGGCGAACGGGUGAGUAACACGUGAGUAACCUGCCCUUGACUUUGGGAUAACUUCAGGAAACUGGGGCUAAUACCGGAUAGGAGCUCCUGCUGCAUGGUGGGGGUUGGAAAGUUUCGGCGGUUGGGGUUGGACUCGCGGCUUAUCAGCUUGUUGGUGGGGUAGUGGCUUACCAAGGCUUUGACGGGUAGCCGGCCUGAGAGGGUGACCGGCCACAUGGGGACUGGGCUACGGCCAGGACUCCUCCGGGGGGAGACGGUGGGGAAUUUUGCACAAGGGGCGGAGGCUUGAUGCGGCAACGCCGCGUGCGGGAUGACGGCCUUCGGGUUGUAAACCGCUUUCGCCUGUGACGAGGCGUGAGGGACGGUACUGGAGAAAGAAGCACCGGCAACCUACGU